UUUUAGGUAACAAAACGACAGGUCGUUUGGCCACUGCUUGCCAAACCGACAUGUCGGUUAUGGUGGAAUAUAAACGACAUGUCGUUUUAAUCCUGCUGCACUUCUGGAGACUAAGCGUCACGUCGUUUUAUCUCUAAUUUAAAAACGACAUGUCGGCUGACGUCUUCUUCAACCUCUGGAGCGCGUGAGAGCGCGUGAAUGAUGACAGAGGCGCGUGGUUAACUGGCCGUGGCUUCGGGUGGCGCGUGGGACUGUGUUUAAAUGCGAAAUAUUUACAGUUUCCUCACUGAAAACUGAGAAAGUUGAUGGUGUUCUUGGUUUUUGAGGAACACACUCUCGGAAAAUUAAUGGGAUUGUUGAUAAAUUUGUAAACUCAAGUUUUUUACGUAUGGGUGGCUUGUUUCUUGAUCGGCAUGGAUAUCUGUAAUGGUAGGAAUGGGUUUAAGAAAGAAAAUGGUGGGAAAAAUGGUUGUGGGAGGAAUUUGGUUUCCUCUGUUUUUGUUACAAACAGAGCAGCGGAACUUGAAGAAACUUGAGCGUAUUCAAAGGCUCUGAUACCAUGAAGAAACGUGUUUUCAUUUCUUAAAUAAAGCAUUAUACAUUGAGAGUUAUUUAUAGAUGCAGAGGCUACAUUUUUUCAAAGAUUACAUAUGUGAAUACGGAAGGAAAUGUAUCAAUCCGUUCGGCGCGGAUCUUGUCUUUGACAAGUGCAGAUUACCCCUUUGACAAGUGCAGAUUCUGUCUUUGAAAGUUUCAUUCAAUGCCAUUUUAUUUGAUUCUCAACACUUAUGAUAUGUUUUUUUUUGUGAAGUUACUAAAAAACUAUUCGUAAUUUUUCGUUGUAUUUUUUUGUCUUAUUUUCAUAAAUUUUCAUCAAAAAGUAAAAAAAAAAAAGAAUCUACCAAAACCUACUAUAAUGAUGGGAAAAAAAUCCAUUAUUUUAGGUAGUCUUGAAAUGAAAAAAUUAUAAUUCCCAAUUUAAUUUUUUAUUAAAAAAUUUCCUAAUUAAUUUUAAAGAAAGAAACUUAAAUAAUGAUGAAAUUUUAGUAGAAAAGCAAUUGUAUUAUCUUAAUUAACAAACAAUGUGUUCCCUAUUGAUAUUAUUGAUUAUAAUUUGCAUAAUUCAGCUUUGCUGACAAGUUAUUUCGAAUUAUAUAGUUAAUUAGUGAGCCACGAUUCUCCCACAUAAAACAUCAACCGCUGAUCAGUUAGGUAUAUCUACCAUGCAUUGUUUUGCUUUCGAUACCUUUUGAAAAAAAAAAAAUAUUUCGGAAGAUUAUUAGGGCACGUGUCAGUUGCCACUAAUUUGUCUAGUAAUGAACUGAUUAGACCAUCGAGUCAAAAAGCAUUGUUUGUCCUAUUAUCGAGUCACUGACAUUAUUGAAUCAUCAUCUACAAUAAUUGGGUGCUACCACUUGUGAUUCACUCAAUCUUAACUUGAGUCUUGAGCCGUUGAUCUGGCCGUUCAUGCCGAACAUGCAUUUGUUUGUUUUGCUGCGUCGCAAUCAGCCAUGCACGUUGCUUAUUUGAUCUACGGUUUAGAACCACCCACGUAAUCUAAUUUUACUUACUGAUUUGUUUUGCUACGUCAGAAUCACCUACGUUGGCACCAUCGGCUACUUAAAUCUAUAUACACAGCCACUAGGCUUUAGUCUAGUGGUUAAAAUCUAAAUCUUACAAUUGUGAGGUUAUAGGUUCGAACCCCACAAUGCAUUGUGAAAAUUUAAUUUCCUUCCUCAAUUUGAAUGAAGACAGUCUUCUUUCUUUUCGAAAUGUGAGUGAAGUAGACGUUCCUCAAAUAUUAGAGAUGAUAAAAAUCUAGGCGAUUCUUCAUAAAAAUUAAUGUAAACUAGUUCCAGUAACAGUCUAAUUUAUAAACAUUAGUUGCAAUAUCUUAUAGUAUGAGUUAUACUCUUGAACAAUAGUCUCAUAUAAUUUUUAAAAAAAAAUCUAUGUACACACCGGUGUCAGAUCAAACCAGUAGAAAAAAGUAUUCACUCAAGCUCAAACUAUACAUCUACUUUUGAUUACGAAGUUAGCAGAGAUCUUUUCUGAUUAAUUUUGAAUAAUAUGGAAACUCCUUGCUAGGCAGGUUAAUUUUUAGGCCAUGCACGUUCAGUUAAAUAUAAUUUAUAAUUCUUAUUUAACAUGUGCCUUUUUGAAUAAUUAAUUAAGUUCGUUAAUAUGAUUUUUUAGCCAAUAACGAUUGGUCGGAGGGAGUAGCCCUUGCCAGCCCAGCAUUGUUGAUUAUGAGAUAGCAACUCAUGAUGUUGAUUUUCUUGCUGUCCUUGAGUACGUGAGGAAUCCUUACCACACUGAUUAAAUACAGUACUGUUACUCUUGUUGAAUCAAACAAAAUUUUAACGGCAAAGUUUGAUUCAACAAGAAUUUUUUUUCAAAAAAAAUUUGUAACUUAGAUGUAAUUUUUUAUAUAUUUUUUUAUUUAAAAAAUUAAAAAUAAUUGAGUAGGGGCAAAAAUAUAUUUUGCAACUAAUUUUAGGGAUAGAAACGUCAUUUUAUAUCUAUUAUAGGGGGUAGAAAUAUCAUUUUAUAAUUAAUUUUAAGGGCAAAAAUGUUAUUUUGUAAUUAAUUUACUGUUCCCGUUAACUUUAAUGGUGAAGUUAACGGAUUUUCACCUACUUGAGUAUUUUUAAAAAAUGUGUAACCUUUUUGAAAUUUGUCAAAAAAUGUGUCACCUAGGGGUAAUUAACCUUUUUUUAUUCCAAAAAUUAUCUCAAGUGACAUUCAUAAAUUGGUUGGUGAGCAUAAUUGGAUCUUGUCAAUGAAUGACAUAUCAUUUAGGAUGGAAUUUGGGAUAAAAAAAAUUUUGAGGAUGUCUAUCAUUACUCUAGUAAGAUGAGACAUUUUAGCAAAUGUCCUAGCAGUUGCCUAAGGAGUAGAGUUUCUAAAACCCCUUUUAAACUCUUAAGAAACCCCACUUUUCAUUUUUUCUAAUCUCUUUCAUUUAUGAAAUUACAAAAAAGGACAUAAAAUUAUCUUAAAUUUUAAUUGGAUUUCCCUAUCAUUUAGAAUAAAUUUUGUAGACAUAUUUUCGUAAUAAAAUUGCUGUUAAUAAAUAAUUUAUUUCUCCAUUAUUUUGAUUUUAUCAACAAAAUUAAUUAUAUCAUAUAAUAGGAUUAACAAAUAGUUAAGAUUCAUGAUUUGUAAAGAUAUUUCGGCAUAAUCAAAUUCAUAUUUGUCGUUUUAGUAACUCUUAGUAACAAUAGAACUAUUAUUACAAAAAUGGGGUGAUACAAGGAUAUUAAAAGUGUGGGAAAAGCAUUAACCUUGCCCAAAUUGUUCUAGGGUUGAAUCGGAGUGUCUAUAUUGCCACUUACUAGAGAGAGGGAAAUAAAAUUUCAGAAGACCACCAUGCUAUUGGUAGUUCUGGGGACAUUUUGCAAAAGAAAUUCUAGAAGAAAUUUAAUGUUCUAUGAGGUGGUUUGAGAGAUGAAUUAAGGUGAUUCAGGAGGUGAAUUGAUUGGAGAGCUCAGUGGUGCUCACAAGAGUUAAUUUUGAGAGUUGACAUGAUUAGGAGGAGCUUAAAAGAGCUCAUGGGAUAGUUUUGUUGAGCUUAAAGAUAACUCUAGAAAGCUUAUCUAUGGAGCUCAAUAGAGCUCAUUGGAUAACUCACGUGAACUCAUAUAUGAAAUAUGAUCUGGACAUUAAAACCAUCGUAAUAAGGACAAAAUAAGUAUAAACAAUAAAGAACACACAAACUUUUACGUUGUUUGGCCUUUUGGCCUAUGUCUACAUGAGUAAUCAUCUCCAAUUUACUAUGUAUGUGAAGUAUUACAUGAUUUACUUUACAAUAUCAACAAAACCUAAUUAAAAAUUAUUUAUGCUGAACAAUAACAUGAAGAAGACAUGGGUUUUAUGGAGAUUAAAAAGUUUUUUAGGAGAAAAAUAAGGGAAAAGUUUCUUUGAAAGAUGAAAUGGCAAAAUUUUUCCAUGGAGGUCUAAAAAAUAGAGGAAGAAAAAGAAGAUGAAGUAGCCUCUCAAGCAAGAAAUCAGAUCUGGAAAUAAUCCCUUUUGUCUAUUGUCUUGAGCUAAAUUUAUAGGAUAGAUGACCUAGGGACAUUUUCGCUUUUUCUACCGCAUGGAGAUUUUCUAUCUGUGUUGCCUUCUUCAAGUGGGGCCACUUUCUUCAUUUUCUUUUGUUCACUUGAUAGUGACCAAAUAAGCUUGAUGAGCUAGUAAUUCCUUUAUUUCUCAUGUGAUCCUUACUCCUUGCCAUGUGGCAGAAGCUGGUGCAUUGGUCUAGUAGUGUGCACUAUUCACGUACUGGCUCUAACCAUCAAAAUUUGUGUUUUGAUAUAUCCCUUGAUAUUGGGCAUAUUGAUCAAAACUUUCAUUUUCCUUAAAAGCUUAUCUUUUAACCUUUGAGAGUUUAUUGGCUCACGUUAGCACCCAAAAUUCUCUUCAAACAGAAAGUAUUAGUUUCCUUUAAAAGAGAUAAUAUUUUAUCAUCAUAUCAUCAUUUAUAAGACGUUGUCAUCAAAGGUUAAUUAAUUAAUCAUCAUUUUGGCAUUCUGGCCACAUUUGAUCGGUAUCCAAUGCUACUGGCGUCGACAGUCAAUAAUUUGUUGGCAAUAUUUGUAAGACAAAUUAUUUUAAUCUUAAUUACCACCAGUCGCAAACGAUAGCUGUAUUUGUAAAAGUUUUGUAUCUUUGCUUCAUUAUCAUUUGGCAGGUUGAGGACCACCUCCAAUAACCAGCUUUUUUUUUUUUAAUGGUUCAAUAAUUGAAACAUAUAAAAAUGAGAACAUAUCAUGCAUCCAGAAAGUAUGGAUAGAAUCGAUAUAUCAGUGUUAGUAGAAAAACUUCAGCCAGGCAUCAAAUGAUAAAUUCAGCUAGCAUUUUCAGAUGUGCCUUAGUAUUUUCAAAUUCUUGUUUAAUUGUUAUAUUUUGAGUUAAGUAUUCACUUAAUUCUUAUAUUUUGAGAAAUAUCUCAAGAUACUUUUACUAUUAAAUAUGUAUCAUUCUUGACCUAUUUUUUUAAUACUUUUACAAUAAUACCCUUGCAACAAUCGUCUUAGUGAUAUUAAUGGUAAGAAAAUAGGUCAAUUUGCCAUAUUACACUAAAAUUAAAUAAAAAU
This 5099-nucleotide long non-coding RNA is filed under the name Citrus x clementina. Its description in RNAcentral is "Citrus clementina (C. clementina) long non-coding RNA (CCLE_LNC002286)". The record is from RNAcentral. Lineage: Eukaryota; Viridiplantae; Streptophyta; Magnoliopsida; Sapindales; Rutaceae.